GUGCUGUGCGACAGAGAGAGGAUGAAACACAACAAGGAGCGCAGGGCAGGGAGGAUCUCCGUAGGGCUGAAGCCGGUGGGUCAUGCUGCUUACUGUAGCUGGUUUUUGAUUAGUCUGCGUUGCCCAGAUGCUAUUGCACUGGGUGGUAAAAUGGCCUAGAUUAUUAUCUCUGUGCCUCUAGGAGCUGGCACUUCACCUGCCUAACAUGGAAUGCUGCUUCUUAAAUGGCGUUAGAUUGGAUUCUGGUGAAUUAAGGACUGUUCACAAAUCUGGAACAGAAACAAAUGAUCACUCCGUAACAAGAACUCCAAGGAACAAGUGAUGCAAUGAGUGCCCAUCCUCUGCUCUUACCUCCGGGACCAGCAGCCAAGCAAACAACACUCUGCCUGUACCCCUGCAAGCUUACUGGAGCCAGGGACAACCAGACAGGAGUCUAACAAAGCUGUCCUCUCAGAAGCUUCAUCCCGCAGCUGAUGAAACCAGAUACAGAGACCCACAGCCAAACAAAAGGAGGAGCUCUGGGAGUCUUGUGGAAGAGUGGGAAGAAGUAUUAAGGGAGACAGAGAGGUCAAGAACACCAUAAGAAUACCUAAAGAGUGAACUAACCUGGGCCAAUGGGGAUGUCACAGGGACUGAACCACUAACCAAAGAGCAUGCGUGGGUUACUCCUAUGUAGCACACGCGGAGCAGAUGUGCAGCUUGUUCUUCAUGUGGGUCCUCUAACAAUUGGAGC
This is a long non-coding RNA of Mus musculus (house mouse), 733 nucleotides long. RefSeq annotates it as predicted gene, 32434. The transcript has 4 exons. The record is from RefSeq and is a predicted model, not a curated record. Lineage: Eukaryota; Metazoa; Chordata; Mammalia; Rodentia; Muridae.